Molecule: ribosomal RNA, 303 nt
Filed under: Klebsiella pneumoniae
Lineage: Bacteria; Pseudomonadati; Pseudomonadota; Gammaproteobacteria; Enterobacterales; Enterobacteriaceae
Description: partial 23S ribosomal RNA
Rfam family: Bacterial large subunit ribosomal RNA
Source: RNAcentral
GGGUUGUGAGGUUAAGCGACUAAGCGUACACGGUGGAUGCCCUGGCAGUCAGAGGCGAUGAAGGACGUGCUAAUCUGCGAAAAGCGUCGGUAAGGUGAUAUGAACCGUUAUAACCGGCGAUGUCCGAAUGGGGAAACCCAGUGUGAUUCGUCACACUAUCGUUAACUGAAUACAUAGGUUAACGAGGCGAACCGGGGGAACUGAAACAUCUAAGUACCCCGAGGAAAAGAAAUCAACCGAGAUUCCCCCAGUAGCGGCGAGCGAACGGGGAGCAGCCCAGAGUCUGAAUCAGCUUGUGUGUUA